Molecule: ribosomal RNA, 498 nt
Filed under: uncultured bacterium
Lineage: Bacteria
Description: partial 16S ribosomal RNA
Rfam family: Bacterial small subunit ribosomal RNA
Source: RNAcentral
AUUGAACGCUGGCGGCAUGCCUUACACAUGCAAGUCGAACGGUAACAGGUCUUCGGAUGCUGACGAGUGGCGAACGGGUGAGUAAUACAUCGGAACGUGCCUAGUAGUGGGGGAUAACUACUCGAAAGAGUGGCUAAUACCGCAUGAGAUCUACGGAAGAAAGCAGGGGAUCGCAAGACCUUGUGCUACUAGAGCGGCCGAUGGCAGAUUAGGUAGUUGGUGGGAUAAAAGCUUACCAAGCCGACGAUCUGUAGCUGGUCUGAGAGGACGAUCAGCCACACGGGGACUGAGACACGGCCCAGACUCCUACGGGAGGCAGCAGUGGGGAAUUUUGGACAUUGGGCGAAAGCCUGAUCCAGCAAUGCCGCGUGCAGGAUGAAGGCCUUCGGGUUGUAAACUGCUUUUGUACGGAACGAAAAGCCCCGGGUUAAUACCCUGGGGUCAUGACGGUACCGUAAGAAUAAGCACCGGCUAACUACGUGCCAGCCGCCACCGUAA